Molecule: ribosomal RNA, 504 nt
Filed under: uncultured bacterium
Lineage: Bacteria
Description: partial 16S ribosomal RNA
Rfam family: Bacterial small subunit ribosomal RNA
Source: RNAcentral
AUUGAACGCUGGCGGCAGGCCUAACACAUGCAAGUCGAACGGUAGCACAGAGAGCUUGCUCUCGGGUGACGAGUGGCGGACGGGUGAGUAAUGUCUGGGAAACUGCCCGAUGGAGGGGGAUAACUACUGGAAACGGUAGCUAAUACCGCAUAACGUCGCAAGACCAAAGUGGGGGACCUUCGGGCCUCACACCAUCGGAUGUGCCCAGAUGGGAUUAGCUAGUAGGUGGGGUAAUGGCUCACCUAGGCGACGAUCCCUAGCUGGUCUGAGAGGAUGACCAGCCACACUGGAACUGAGACACGGUCCAGACUCCUACGGGAGGCAGCAGUGGGGAAUAUUGCACAAUGAGCGCAAGCCUGAUGCAGCCAUGCCGCGUGUAUGAAGAAGGCCUUCGGGUUGUAAAGUACUUUCAGCGGGGAGGAAGGCGGUGGAGUUAAUAACUUCACCGAUUGACGUUACCCGCAGAAGAAGCACCGGCUAACUCCGUGCCAGCCGCCGCCGUAA